This 253-nucleotide ribosomal RNA is filed under the name uncultured bacterium. RNAcentral describes it as "partial 16S ribosomal RNA". It matches the Rfam family "Bacterial small subunit ribosomal RNA", at positions 524 to 776 of the family's 1533-position model. The record is from RNAcentral.
GACAGAGGUGCCAAGCGUUAGGCGGAAUCACUGGGCUUAAAGCGUGUGUAGGCGGAUAUCUAAGUACCUUGUGAAAUCCCACGGCUCAACCGUGGAACUGCUUGGUAUACUGGGUGUCUUGAGCCAUCUAGGGGCUACCGGAACAAAUGGUGGAGCGGUGAAAUGCGUAGAUAUCAUUUGGAACGCCAAUGGUGAAAACAGCUCGCUGGGGGUGCACUGACACUGAGACACGAAAGCCAGGGGAGCGAACGGG